GGCAUUACAUCAACAUAACCACCGUGAUUUCGAACCACUCCAGCAUGUACUGCUGCUCUGCAGAUACUGGACAGCUGAGAAGAGGCAAGAAUAUAAGCACAAAUGUGAAGACUAGUACAUUCAAGAUACCAGCAGGACUUUUCAGUGGCACAUAAGACCAGUGCAAAUCUGGAGCUUGAGAGAGACUCAGAAUUGGAAAAUAACUGCAAAGGUAAAGCUGAACUGAAAAAAAUCUUGGUAAGUAAGCUCACCAAGAGAAAUAGGUGGUAAUGUACAUAUUCAGGCCUCUUUACAUGAUCAAAUUCCCUUAAUAUUCUAUUGAAUAUGUGCAUAAGACAUUUCCUAAAUUUGCAUUUGUAACUCUCUGGCUUAGAAAUCUGUAAUGGUUUCUAAGUGUUUGCCUCAUAAAACGUAAACUCAUCAGCAUGCACUUUCAGACUUUGUCUACACACUGAUGUGAGCUGGAUUCCUCUCUCUCUCAGACUAACUUGGUUGAAGCCCCUUUUCGUUCCGAUUUUCAGCAGCUUAGAGACAAAGCUAUCUGCUAGUCUGAUGUACAGCUCAUUGACUCUUAACUCCGUUACUUUGUA
Molecule: long non-coding RNA, 590 nt
Organism: Homo sapiens (human)
Lineage: Eukaryota; Metazoa; Chordata; Mammalia; Primates; Hominidae
Source: Ensembl